CCUUACCUACACUUGACAUGCCUUUUUUGGAUUUCAGAGAUGAUUUCCUUCGGUUCGGCCGGGAGUGCACAGGUGCUGCAUGGCUGUCGUCAGCUCGUGUCGUGAGAUGUUGGGUUAAGUCCCACAACGAGCGCAACCCCUAUUGUUAGUUGCCAUCAGGUUAUGCUGGGCACUCUAGCGAGACUGCCCGUGACAAGCGGGAGGAAGGCGGGGAUGACGUCAAGUCAUCAUGGCCCUUACGUGUAGGGCUAGAAACGUGCUACAAUGGUGGUGACAGUGGGCAGCGAGGCUGUAAGGCCAAGCCAAUCCUCAAAAACCAUCUCAGUUCAGAUUGUCCUCUGCAACUCGAGGGCAUGAAGUUGGAAUCGCUAGUAAUCGUGGAUCAGCAUGCCACGGUGAAUACGUUCCCGGGUCUUGUACACACCGCCU
RNAcentral lists this ribosomal RNA (429 nucleotides) under uncultured bacterium. Its description in RNAcentral is "bacterial SSU rRNA". It matches the Rfam family "Bacterial small subunit ribosomal RNA", at positions 969 to 1395 of the family's 1533-position model. The record is from RNAcentral.